GUAGGUGAACCUGCGGAAGGAUCAUUAACACGUAUCCACGUUAAUCACCCGAGAACUUACUUAGGACUAGCUGAGGAUCAAGUAAAAAGCUUCGGCUUCCGGCCCCUUGUUCCUUUCUUCGGAGGGAGCACAGUGUGGACAUGAUCCCCGGCUUCCUAAGCCUGGUAUUCAUCUCUUCGGAGAUGAACACCAACAACAAGAACCUUGCGCGGAGUCUCUCGAGACUCCUCAAAGGGUUCUUGAUGAGUAA
Molecule: unclassified non-coding RNA, 250 nt
Filed under: plant metagenome
Description: partial contains small subunit ribosomal RNA, internal transcribed spacer 1, and 5.8S ribosomal RNA
Source: RNAcentral